GAUGAACGCUAGCUACAGGCUUAACACAUGCAAGUCGAGGGGUAACGAGAGGAAAGCUUGCUUUCCUUGUCGACGACCGGCGCACGGGUGAGUAACGCGUAUCCAACCUGCCCCCAACUAGGGAAUAACCUUGCGAAAGUAAGACUAAUACCCUAUACUUUCCUCAGAUGUCAUCUGACGAGGAGUAAAGAUUUAUCGGUUGUGGAUGGGGAUGCGUCUGAUUAGCUUGUUGGCGGGGUAACGGCCCACCAAGGCAACGAUCAGUAGGGGUUCUGAGAGGAAGGUCCCCCACAUUGGAACUGAGACACGGUCCAAACUCCUACGGGAGGCAGCAGUGAGGAAUAUUGGUCAAUGGGCGGAAGCCUGAACCAGCCAAGUAGCGUGCAGGAUGACGGCCCUAUGGGUUGUAAACUGCUUUUAUACAGGAAUAAAGUUAGCCACGUGUGGUUAUUUGUAGGUACUGUAUGAGUAAGGACCGGCUAAUUCCGUGCCAGCAGCCGCGGUAA
Molecule: ribosomal RNA, 506 nt
Filed under: uncultured bacterium
Lineage: Bacteria
Description: partial 16S ribosomal RNA
Rfam family: Bacterial small subunit ribosomal RNA
Source: RNAcentral